Molecule: long non-coding RNA, 5532 nt
Organism: Cephus cinctus (wheat stem sawfly)
Lineage: Eukaryota; Metazoa; Arthropoda; Insecta; Hymenoptera; Cephidae
Exons: 2
Source: RefSeq, a predicted model, not a curated record
AUUACUACCAACGUAAUUUUCUUUCUGCUACGAAAAAAUUUAUCACGGUUUUGAAUUUCUCCGUUGCGAAUGAUACCAGAAUUCUUGGUUUGUUCUUCACUGCUGACUUUUUGGAUUGAACGUUUAUUCAUUUGGUAUCAGGGGUUCAUGGAUACCUAAGGUGGCGUUCAACCCCGGUGAGUGUCUUUGCCGUGAAGGAAGGCAGUUUCGAUUAUUAAAAGACUCAAUCAAUGACAGUUCUAGCACGUAAUUCAACUCAGGGAUAUAGAAGAGAGUGAAUGGUUUGAUAACAGGCAAGGCUUGGAGUUACUCAUGCCGGGUGGUGACCAUUCAGUAUGGGCUUUACCGUCCGGCAGUGAUUUCAAUUGGUAAAUUGAUUUGGAACGGAGGCAAAAAAAAGGCGAUAAAGAAAGAACACCAGGACGAGUGGACGGCAGAGCUGCCGUUAAUAGGGAGUGAACGCCGGUUGAAUGCUUAAUGCACCGCGGUUCUAGGAUUAAAUUGACCAAUCAUUUCCCGCGCGGCAAAGAACGGCCAAUUACAGUGCUCGCCGGACUAUAUUAAGCCAAUCAAGGCUAGUUUAUCACUCAGUUGAGGAUCUGCCUUCGUGCCGUGUGCAUCUUCCUACGUUUUUACGCGCUCUAACACGUUACCCUCGGGGAAGCCAGACACAUUCACGAGCAAAUUCGAAGAUGGAAGGGACCAGGGGAGAGAUGGUGGAAAUCAUUAUGAACAUUCAUUCGUGUUAUUCGUGACCUUAUCCGGCCCUCAACGACAAUCAGUGACUGUCCUCUUCAUUAUUCCUUUUUACCUUUUCAUAUCCUUUCGAAGUUUUAAUAUCCUGCGUGGAUACAUCGUGCUCUGUUAAUUUAUCAUGAUUCAUUUACGGAAUUAUAAAAAACUACACACGACUCGUCUUAUGGGUGUUUGAAAUGUGCUUCGUUAGUUUUUUGAAAAUUCGGAUUUUUAACCUUGAAAAUCGUGAAGCUACGAAUAUAUUUUUCGAAAAUAGUCAAUUUUGAUAUUGUAGUUGAUUGAAAUACUUUGAGAUCAUUUUGAGUUUAAAGUGUUUCUUGAUUAUUUUCACUUUUGAAUAUGUUUGAGUUUGCUUAGGUGGUCAUAUAUUAUAUCGCGGUUACAUAUUAUAUUGUUAUUAACUCUCUAUGCAUCAUAAAUCUUUUACAAUGAAUUCCUUCUUAUACCUGUAUCGUCAUACCCAGCAAACACAUUUGUCACGUUUAUGUAACUUUUGAAUAGCUGAUAAUAUAAUACUAUAGAAUUCAUGUGGUUGAGAUGUAACUGUUGCAAGAUGUGUUUACGGGAUACUGUACGAGUAUUAUUCUUUCGAACGCAUUGAAAACGAAGGUUCAAAGGUCGUGAGAUUUCCCGCGAUUGUUAAUACCAGAAUUCUGUGGUGGUUUCUAAUACAUUUUCCAUUAGAGUGUGCACGACAGGAAAUAAAAAUAAUUCCAAAUUUUUGAGAAUAAAUAUUCAUUCCUUACUAUCCGUCUUUCCCACUUCCUAUUCUCUGCGAGAUAUUACGAAUUGUGCGUGAAUUUGUGAGUGUGGUGCCACGAAUGGUAAGAAUACUUCGUAAUUCCAAAAAAGCCGGAUAAACAACGCGCGGACACGUCAUAAAGAAGUAACACAGUGUGUCGAGUGCCCUUUUGCUAUUUUUUCCACAAACGGCCUAAUGGCGUACGGUUUAAGAAUUUUCAAUGUAGUGUCACAUUUAUCUUAAGAUAAGUUGUCAUUUGCCUUACUAGAAUAUACGUCAUAAAUAAAUGAGUAUAACUCACACGUAUCUCAACAUUUCUCAAGGCGUCUGCAGUAGACAUUGUCAGACGUUAAGUACCCGCAGCGCCUCGUCGGAUUCCCUCACAAUUAAUUCAAAUCUACAGCUGUAACAGACACAAUUAGAAUUUCUACAUUUCUUUCUUCCUCUCUAUGUCUUCUCUGAAAUUCUAGACAAGAUCCGCUAUUACGCGAAUUGUAAGAAACAAAAUACAUCGUAUAAUUCUACGUAUCCUUCUUCCUAUUUAAGGGUAUACAAAUCCUGUACAUAUAUUUAAUAAUAAAAAGGCUCGGAGCAGUCUGCAGUGAAGUCAUACUCAGAAGUGUGUAUCACAUAAUGUUUUGCUGGCGAAGCUACGUUCGUAUCAACAAAGCACAACUUUAUCAGCAUGUUAAUUAGAUCAGGAUGUAUAACACGUGCAGACGAUUUGUCUUUCGGCUUCUCGAAUCUCCUUGUAUCCUCCAUCCUUCUAUGUGGAGUAAUAGAGACACGGGAAAAAAGAUUAAAUCAAUAUUAAUAAUUCAUAUAAAAUUUUUCAAGUUAGUGAAAUCAGUCGAAGGGAGUUUAAGGUUAAUGCUGUUUGUGCACCCGGGACGAAAUCGAGGGUUCAUAAUUAGAUUGCGACAAUUUGUUAUUCUGAAAAUAGUUGCUUUCUAUCUGGUGGUGGUUUAUCGCUGUGACUUCUUAACCUCUCUCCUCAACGAUAUCGCAGAGAAAAAAAGCAAGAAGCUCAAACUGUUGUAACUCUCAUAUGCUGAAGUCUCUCGGUAAAGAAAGACACAUUUGUAUUUAUUUAUGAAAUUAUAAAUGAUGAUUAACCAUUAUAUGAGAAAAAGAAAAUUAUUUUUAUCAUCUAUGCAUUAUAUUUUUUACUCUGGUUUAUAUAUUAGAAAUCACAAUUUCGUAACAAGAAAUUCAUACGACGUGGAUAUUCCAUAUUUUUUUUUUAGUAAUGCUGUAGCACUGCGCUUAAGAAAUUAUAAAAAAUACAAAAUUUCCCCUUUGCUAAUAUGUUUAGUCAUGACUUUCUUGGAGACUUCUUCAUACAAUAAAUAAAGUAGAAAUUACGUAAUUUUGAAUUAAUAUAAAAAAGUUUUCUAUUUGUUUGAAAGUUCGAGAUCCACAAUUACCAAGUGUCAUAGAUAGAUUGACCUUCAUUUUCCAUACUUUCUGCUGACGUCCAAUCUCUAAAGUUCGUCUCACACAGGAAGUACAAAUACAUAUAGAAAAACAUAAGAAAUACAAUCAGUGGAAGAAAAAUAUCACAGAAGAAAGUGUAUUACGAAAAUUGCCGCGAUCAUGUAUGGAGAAGAAAUAAUACGACAUUCCAUGCGUUUUGGAACCUCCAAAAAGUUUCAAGUUCUCACUAUUUCUUUUUCGAGGUCACGAUCUCCGACUGAAUAAUCGUUAUCGAUUUUAUUUUUUUUCCCUUAUCAAUGUCGUAAAACUAUCAUUUGGAUGCUGAUACAAUUCAUAAAGCUAGAAAUAUUUGACAUGUAUUAAAAAAAGAGACCUUUUCCCCCGAUUUCCUUAUCUACGGUCUCUAACCGAAAAUUCAAACCCAUCGAUACAAAAAGUUUCAGUGUAAAAUUGUGCCUCGAUGCCGAUAGCCUUUUUUUAAACGUUUUCCGUAUCUCUCAGAACGGCCACGUACGGCGACCGGCAAUCGCUGAAUAUGAAGGAUACGAACGAGACAUUUUAAAAUUAAAGAUGGAAGCGGCUUUUACGAGUGCACGAGCCAUAAGGGAGUCGCAUUAGUGGGAAUUAGCGUUAAUUGGAGUUCUCUCUCGCACGGUCACUAACGCCGACGGAAUAAACGAAUAGCAUGCAACGUGCAUGCAAUGCAUUAUACAUAGAUGCAGCUGAAUCCGCAAGACCCCGCCCCAUACCCAUAAUCCUCUUAGGCUUGCUGUUUUGCCUUUGAACAUUUUAUUACGAUACACGCCGGUACUAAUUAUGAAUUUAUGAGCCGUAUUUGUAUCGUGAAGAAACAUACCGACUGGGAUGCACGUGAGAAUAUUAAUAUUUGAUUUCGUAGAAGCUAUAAGAUAUACAGAGAAAUAUUGUAUUUUUAUAACAUCGCGCUUCCUGUGCAUACUCAGAUUACUCAUCUAUCGAAAUUUCCAGGAUGUCUACUAUAGCGCGAAUAUAUAUAAGGAAUGCCUAGAAUUAUUUAGGUAUAACGUUAUGAAGUAUGAAUACGUUGCUUGAUGAAACAGAAGACGUUAAACAGAGUCCACAGUAUAGGAAUCAAAGAUCGGACUGUGACGUUUCAUUUUUCCCUCAAUACACUAUUGAAGUUUCUGUAUCACUGCUUGGAAGAGGAAUUCACCAAGAGGGAUAAACAUUCAGAUUUAAUUUCUUCUCUUCCAAAGACCUUUGCGACGCUUGCACUUUUAUAAGAGGGCCCCCGUAGGGACAGAUGGACCAUAUCCAAGACGUCACAUAAGACAGAGGGUCUCAUUCAAGAUGCAUUCCUACUUGAAACACGUUACGUUGGUUUAAUAGCAAUUUGAGUUAGUUACUAAUUUGUAAUCGCAUAAUUUCUUUGAAGCAUUCUGAUAUGUAGAAAUGAAAAUUCAUUGUCUCAUUUACAGUCAUACAAUUUUUAGUAACCUAUCUGAACUAUAUAAUAGGGAUUUUGUAUAGAUUUAAUGUUGUCCUUAUUCCAUCUAAAUGCUAAUUUAAAAUGGAAACUCCAAGCUUAGAGCAGCAACAGGUUGCACGGCCAGACUAAUAUUCGGCAGAAGUCUGGCGCUCUAACGUUAUAACAGAAUCAGCAGUAGGCGGCUUUAAUGACUUCCCAAGGCCGGUUCAAUGAGGGCCACUGUCUGUCAUCAGAUCCUUACAGCAUAGUGCAGCACACUGCCCCUGGUAUGUCUGACGACGAGUGUAAUAAUCUUAUGGCUGCGCAUUGAUAUCAAAGCAUGAUCUUCAAUGGUUUUUCUACGAGUGGCAUGAAACACGUUUUGUCUGUAAUUUCUCUUCAGUGUACAAUAUUUCGGAUGUAAGAUGCGAUGCAUAUAAAAGAAAGAGAAAAAAACGAACGCUCGGCGUAAGACAGUUUUUUCAUAAUUCAGACGAUUUAAAAUAGUUUUAAGCCUUCGUUACUUUACACUUGAAAAAUAAUCGUGGCACGUACUUACCGCAUUUUCCUGUCAAUUAUCCAAUAUCACCUCGAGUUGGCGACGCGUGGGCACAUGCUGGUUUUAUUAGGAUUUCCUUCGUUUCGUCGAUUAAUUACUAAUUCCCGGGAGCCAUUACCUCAGCAUGGUCUCACGCUAUGGUAUGCCUUGUAGAAUAUCAAUUUAAUAAUUAUUACAGUCUAUUAUACAGGGUGAAUGUAAGACCGUUUAACUUAACGAGAUGUCAUUUAUUUUUCAGAUCGCUUAUCAACGAUUAAUUUCUCUUUUUUUUAUGGUUUCUACGCGGAAUCAAGAAACGGCUGAAUGAUGGCCGAUUAUAGUGGUUUACUGAAAUCCUGUCCUGUUCCUAAGUACUAGUGCCGCAGGAGUGACUAGGCUGGGCUAGGAAUUACCGUGUCUCCUGCUGCUCAAGUGCUUAUCAAUGGGUCGGGACGCACAUCGUCUAAAUUAUUUGUACAACGAUUAAUAAAGAGGAACAGCAUAUUGCUUUUAUUUAAUACCUUGCGAAACAGCUGUAAUAUAUUUUAUUUUAGACAUGUUGUAUUAACUGUACUUUUAUGUUUUCUGAUAAAUAAAUAUUUCAUAAAAUUA